This is a long non-coding RNA of Lytechinus pictus (painted urchin), 2733 nucleotides long. RefSeq lists it as uncharacterized. The record is from RefSeq and is a predicted model, not a curated record. Lineage: Eukaryota; Metazoa; Echinodermata; Echinoidea; Temnopleuroida; Toxopneustidae. The transcript has 4 exons.
ACUGUCCGAAGUAAUAAAUAAAGGAUUAGUCAACUUGUAUUAUGGAACCUUAACAAAUUGCCUUCGAGUCCUUAUUUGUAUGGGAAUACAAAUCACAACAUGGUGGCAGCGGUGCAGAACUUCUAUCAUAGAAAUGACUGGAUCGAUUUGAUUCGAUAUAUCUACCCUAAAGAUCAGAUGAGAAACGUUUUAUAUUGUGCCGUGUGAUUGACGGAAUUGACUGAACCGGCCUGGUCGUUUGAGCGAAAGCCCAGUGAGACACCGUGCCGAAGUCUUCCCGUUGUGUGCCGAAGGAAUCCACUACGGCGCUUGGGGUGAUACGUUAUGGUACACACACCCAUGAACUUUUCAAGCGCAGGUUGCCAUGACAUCGACGCGGACUGAUAUUGAUUGGUCAAGCAUCGCGACAUAAAUUAUGUUGAUGAGGAUCGUCGACGUCACAAUACGACCGGACGGGACCCUUUUGUGAUAACGUCUACAUCUAGCUCUUUAUUGGGAACGACAAGUAGACCAAGACUUGCUGAACUGGAUCCCGGUGAAAUUGAGAUGUAACAGAGGGCCUGCAGUUCCAUCAUAAGAGAGACUUUCCAUAAGUUUCCACGGGCUGCCUAACUGAGUAUCAGAAUGUUCAAUGAUUAUGAAUCUUAGAUUCCAGUUGAGACAAUGAGAGACAAAUUGGGUGGUUGACUUAGACUGGAUCUGCCAGAAGAUAAUUUACACAGAUGACAAACUAAGACUAAGUGACCGCAUCAAUAACCAACAUGGAGGAAGCCCUUAUCCUAGAAGUGUAGGAAAAUCCAUUCCUGUAUGACAAGAGAUUGGAGAUGUUCAAGGAUACAGAAGUAAAAAAAUGAUGUAUAACAUGACAUUGGGCGUCAGCUUGUAAUCUCAGGUGACGUAGCGAGUUGAGGGACAACUUCCUAAAAAACGACAGAAAUGGAGAGGAAGAGUGGUGACGGAGCUCCCUCAAAUGCAGCACGUAAAUACAAGUACAGUGAGGCAAUGGAAUUCCUACUUCCCCACAUACAUAAUCGAGACAGAACAAGUUCAAUCUUGGAUCCUGUGUUUGAUGUGGACACACCAGGAGAAGCCUGUACCAAGCAGGAAGAAACUGAGCAGGAGAAUGGUGGGUGACAUCUGUCCACAACGUGGGUCAGUCUUCCUCGUCAUCAUCCUCAGGCACGUCCGCAACAUCAGUCCAGUCUUCAAGUCCCAACUUCACUUCAAAUCGAGGACACAAUGUUGCAGUAUUUUCAAAGCACUGAUAGUCAUGGUGACAACAUAACUGUAGAUAAAUUUUUCUCCAGCUUGUCCCCCAUUGUCCCACACUGUAAAAGUUACCUCAACGCCAGCUCCAUUGCUAUGAGGUUAAAUUUCGGUCGUCUGAACAUUGAACAUACUACUAUAGGAAUUAAAGUUUUUGUGUCAUCUAACUCCAAGUCGAUUCUUAUUGAUGUUAUAAACAUCUCACAAUUUAAGAAUCCAAAUAUGUUUCGUAGAGUAAAAAAAAAGUUAACGGAAAAUGCUCUAACUUGCUAUGCUCCACCGCUAAAAAGAGAGCUGAUAUCUUAUUCCCUCUGACCAUGGAGCUAAUAGCUCUAUGCUCUGACAUCACUCAAUACUCUUUCGAUUGUAACAUAAAAGAUGCAAUGUCAGACAUGCAGCAUCACCAACAAAUUAAAAGCGGUGUAUAUAUGAUUACAUCUGAAUUACUUAUGAUAAAUCCAUAUGAAAUAAAUCAUUUGCAGGAAAUCUACAACUUUAAUGACUGAUAUCGUAUUAUAAACAACGACACCAUUAAAUGUGUUAUUCUAAUUUCCACUUGAAUUUUUCACUUUGACAUCUCCAUAGGCAGCGGAAGCGGGGACAGGUCCCCCCCCCCUAAAUUUUUAGUUGAUAACCUUUUUUUUAUUUUUUGGCUUCCACCGCCAAUGUACAUCUCCCAUUGUUACAGUUGCAAGUCAGUCUCAAUUUGCAGAAAUUACGAUUGUGAAGGAUUAUGAUCUUCCUCUUUUGUAGAUCUGGAAAAUAUCGUCUGAGCAUGUUCACCAUUUAUUAAAAAUAUAUUUAUUUCUUAAAUUAUACUUGAAUUUAAAUUCAGGAUUUGUUCACAGAUAAGAGAAGUUGAGCAUUUUGCACAUCACAGAAAUUUGGUUCAUGCAAAUACAUGUAUUAACAUGAUCACUAGUAAUGCACUAUCAAAUAUCAAUACAUGAAACCAGUUACUGUGAAAAUAAAAAUGAUGGGUACUGGACGGAACGUUUCUGGACUAAUGUUUUAUUUUGGAAACAGAGAUCUAGGAUUGUUUGAAAUAUGACAAAACGUUAGAAACAAAAUUUCAUCUCUAAACAGAAUGGCAAUGACACUCCUGUUGCCUGUUUCAUAGAGAGGUACAACUAUCAUAACUUUGUCUUUAAUAUGGCGCAACAUCCAAUUAUAAUUGUGGUUUCCAUGGUAGUUGCCAUAAUGUUAAAGUACUUUUGAAAUGGGCCCCUGGACAUGAAGAAUACUGACAAAAGAAAGUUGAUUGUGAAAUAAAAAGAAUACAUUCAUCUUAAAUUUUUUGACGCCCCAUGCAUUUUUUGUUGUUUAUAUAUCUCGUAUUAUUUUUUUCUGUAAUAAAUUAAUGAGCAUCACUUUUUUUUCAACAACAAAUAUAAUGUAGAUUGCUGAAGAACCUAAAAUAUAUUUGGAGCUGAACUAAACUCAAAAUAAAGAUGUCGACAAAAUGAA